This 557-nucleotide ribosomal RNA is filed under the name uncultured bacterium. Its description in RNAcentral is "bacterial SSU rRNA". It matches the Rfam family "Bacterial small subunit ribosomal RNA", at positions 102 to 694 of the family's 1533-position model. The record is from RNAcentral.
ACGGGUGAGUAACGCGUGGGAAUCUACCGUGCCCUGCGGAAUAGCUCCGGGAAACUGGAAUUAAUACCGCAUACGCCCUACGGGGGAAAGAUUUAUCGGGGUAUGAUGAGCCCGCGUUGGAUUAGCUAGUUGGUGGGGUAAAGGCCUACCAAGGCGACGAUCCAUAGCUGGUCUGAGAGGAUGAUCAGCCACAUUGGGACUGAGACACGGCCCAAACUCCUACGGGAGGCAGCAGUGGGGAAUAUUGGACAAUGGGCGCAAACCUGAUCCAGCCAUGCCGCGUGAGUGAUGAAGGCCUUAGGGUUGUAAAGCUCUUUCACCGGAGAAGAUAAUGACGGUAUCCGGAGAAGAAGCCCCGGCUAACUUCGUGCCAGCAGCCGCGGUAAUACGAAGGGGGCUAGCGUUGUUCGGAAUUACUGGGCGUAAAGCGCACGUAGGCGGAUAUUUAAGUCAGGGGUGAAAUCCCAGAGCUCAACUCUGGAACUGCCUUUGAUACUGGGUAUCUUGAGUAUGGAAGAGGUAAGUGGAAUUCCGAGUGUAGAGGUGAAAUUCGUAGA